AGAGUUUGAUCAUGGCUCAGGAUAAACGCUGGCGGCGUGCUUCAGGCAUGCAAGUCGAACGAGUGUCCACCUUCGGGUGGUCUACUAGUGGCGGACGGGUGAGUAACGCGUUAGCAACCUGCCCAAAAGUGGGGAAUAACUAACCGAAAGGUUAGCUAAUACCGCAUGUGAUAGCUGGUUCUUGGACCGGCUAUGAAAGGCUUCGGUCGCUUUUGGAGGGGCUUGCGUCAGAUUAGCUUGUUGGUGGGGUAAUGGCCUACCAAGGCGACGAUCUGUAGCUGGUCUGAGAGGACGAUCAGCCACACGGGGACUGAGAUACGGCCCCGACUCCUACGGGAGGCAGCAGCUAGGAAUCUUGGGAAUGGGCGAAAGCCUGACCCAGCAACGCCGCGUGGGCGAUGAAGGCCUUCGGGUCGUAAAGCCCUUUUGUAGGGGACGAUGAUGACGGUACCUGCGUAUAGCCC
RNAcentral lists this ribosomal RNA (464 nucleotides) under uncultured Defluviicoccus sp. Its description in RNAcentral is "bacterial SSU rRNA". It matches the Rfam family "Bacterial small subunit ribosomal RNA", at positions 8 to 493 of the family's 1533-position model. Lineage: Bacteria; Pseudomonadati; Pseudomonadota; Alphaproteobacteria; Rhodospirillales; Rhodospirillaceae. The record is from RNAcentral.